CGGCGAGUGGCGAACGGGUGAGUAUAGCAUCGGAACGUGCCAAGUAGUGGGGGAUAACCAAACGAAAGUUUGGCUAAUACCGCGUAAGCUCCAAGGAGGAAAGUAGGGGACCUAAAUAAGGCCUUACGCUAUUUGAUCGGCCGAUGUCGGAUUAGCUAGUUGGUGGGGUAAUGGCUCACCAAGGCAAUGACCCGUAGCGGGUCUGAGAGGACGAUCCGCCACACUGGGACUGAGACACGGCCCAG
Molecule: ribosomal RNA, 245 nt
Filed under: uncultured Neisseriales bacterium
Lineage: Bacteria; Pseudomonadati; Pseudomonadota; Betaproteobacteria; Neisseriales
Description: partial 16S ribosomal RNA
Rfam family: Bacterial small subunit ribosomal RNA
Source: RNAcentral